Molecule: ribosomal RNA, 645 nt
Filed under: Bacillus sp. (in: firmicutes)
Lineage: Bacteria; Bacillati; Bacillota; Bacilli; Caryophanales; Bacillaceae
Description: bacterial SSU rRNA
Rfam family: Bacterial small subunit ribosomal RNA
Source: RNAcentral
GGCGGCGUGCUAAUACAUGCAAGUCGAGCGGACAGAUCGGGAGCUUGCUCCCUGAUGUUAGCGGCGGACGGGUGAGUAACACGUGGGUAACCUGCCUGUAAGACUGGGAUAACUCCGGGAAACCGGGGCUAAUACCGGAUGCUUGAUUGAACCGCAUGGUUCAAUUAUAAAAGGUGGCUUUUAGCUACCACUUACAGAUGGACCCGCGGCGCAUUAGCUAGUUGGUGAGGUAACGGCUCACCAAGGCAACGAUGCGUAGCCGACCUGAGAGGGUGAUCGGCCACACUGGGACUGAGACACGGCCCAGACUCCUACGGGAGGCAGCAGUAGGGAAUCUUCCGCAAUGGACGAAAGUCUGACGGAGCAACGCCGCGUGAGUGAUGAAGGUUUUCGGAUCGUAAAACUCUGUUGUUAGGGAAGAACAAGUACCGUUCGAAUAGGGCGGUACCUUGACGGUACCUAACCAGAAAGCCACGGCUAACUACGUGCCAGCAGCCGCGGUAAUACGUAGGUGGCAAGCGUUGUCCGGAAUUAUUGGGGCGUAAAGCGCGCGCAGGCGGUUUCUUAAGUCUGAUGUGAAAGCCCCCGGCUCAACCGGGGAGGGUCAUUGGAAACUGGGGGAACUUGAGUGCAGAAGAGGAGAGU